ACGACACAUACUUCUGUGCCGGAGCUAUAUACUGAAAUAGUUGCUGUGAUACAUACAGCAUAGACAUAACUGCAUGUGUCUAAUUAACAUUAUACUUAACUCUGGUGGCAAAGCACUCUUUACAUGGCUCUGGCAGCACGAUACGUUAGCCUACAGUUUGCCAGCAACUACCUCGAACCAAAGUCGUAACAACAACAAAAUGGUCAAAAGUACGCAGAAGUAUUCCAACACCAGGACAUGCAGCAAAUCUCCGCACAAAAGCUGAGAGCAGGGAGCCAAGAGCUGGGACCAGCUGCUGCUGCUGCCUAAAUCCAGGAGCAACAGCUCGUAGCGUUGGUGGCGAUAUGCACCUUGUUGUUAGUGAUGCUCCGAUAAACCACAGGAAGGAAAAAGAUGUGAUGGCAGAGGAACACCUGUGGGAAGUGAUGGAAUAAGAGAUGGCAGCCUGAUGAAUCAUGUCAACAUGGAGCAGAGUCCCAGAGGUAGUAGGAGGGAAUCAGGGAGUGAUUUUCGACUUAGUCUCAACAUGCUGUAUAUGCACUGUAUAUCAAUGGGGGAUCUGCUGUGAAGCACCCAAAUACUUCUAAUUAUCAAACAAGCAGAAAACAUGUUGAUUGGAUGCUGGUAGAUCCAAAUGCAACAUUUAGAACAAAAGCAGAUAAAUUAUUCUGGGGAAAUGAGCAGCGAUGCUUAUUCCAAUGUCUCGCCUAGAAUGUCUUCAGCCCUGCCCUCUUACAGAGUUUUUUUGUUUAGGUUAAUUAACAUGAGUCAUAUCCAGUAGCAGUUCAUACCAGUGUCUUCAGACCACUUGACUUCUGCACACUUUGUGCUUGGUAGAAGCUCCUUUGGCAGCAAUUACACCUCCACUGUUUUGGGGCAGGCCUAUACAGGCUCUGCACACCUGGAAUUUGGCGGUACUUCUCAUUAUUCCUGGCGGAUCCUCUCAGGAGCUGUCAGACUAGAUGGGAAGUCUCUAUGAACUGCCAGGUCUCCCUGCAGAUGUUAUAUCAGGUUUAAUUCUGGACUUUGGCUGAUUCGCUCAAGGACACCAGUGUUUUCUUGACUGUCUGCUUCAGUCCAUUGUUAUGCUGAAAAACUUAGCCCCUGAGUAUUUGGCUCUGUUCAGAACUAGUAUAAACAUCAUCUCUAAGAGAGAGAGGGAG
This is a long non-coding RNA of Pleuronectes platessa (European plaice), 1163 nucleotides long. RefSeq lists it as uncharacterized. NCBI's taxonomy places the organism in Eukaryota, Metazoa, Chordata, Actinopteri, Pleuronectiformes, Pleuronectidae. The record is from RefSeq and is a predicted model, not a curated record. The transcript is spliced from 3 exons.